CCUACGGGAGGCAGCAGUGGGGAAUAUUGCGCAAUGGGCGAAAGCCUGACGCAGCGACGCCGCGUGAGGGAUGAAGGUCUUCGGAUCGUAAACCUCUGUCAGCAGGGAAGAACGGUCACUGUGCUAAUCAGCAGUGAAUUGACGGUACCUGCAAAGGAAGCACCGGCUAACUCCGUGCCAGCAGCCGCGGUAAUACAGAGGGUGCGAGCGUUAAUCGGAAUUACUGGGCGUAAAGCGCUCGUAGGCGGUAUGUCAAGUCAAGGGUGAAAGCCCCGCGCUCAACGUGGGAACUGCCUUUGAAACGGGCAAACUGGAGUGUGUGAGAGGAUAGUGGAAUGCCAGGUGUAGGAGUGAAAUCCGUAGAUAUCUGGAGGAACAUCAGUGGCGAAGGCGACUAUCUGGCACAUAACUGACGCUGAGGAGCGAAAGCGUGGGUAGCAAACAGGAUUAGAUACCCUUGUAGUC
This 465-nucleotide ribosomal RNA is filed under the name uncultured bacterium. RNAcentral describes it as "partial 16S ribosomal RNA". It matches the Rfam family "Bacterial small subunit ribosomal RNA", at positions 338 to 795 of the family's 1533-position model. The record is from RNAcentral.